GGCCUGUUGGUCUAGUAGAGGUAUGAUUCUCGCUUCGGGUGCGAGAGGUCCCGGGUUCAAUUCCCGGACAGGCCC
Branchiostoma belcheri (Belcher's lancelet) is the source of this 75-nucleotide non-coding RNA. Lineage: Eukaryota; Metazoa; Chordata; Leptocardii; Amphioxiformes; Branchiostomatidae. The record is from the annotation of a RefSeq genome assembly.